CGAUGCCACACGCUCGAAAUUCGGCGAUGUCGUAAAUUAUAUAAACACACCGAAACACGUAAAACGAUAUGUUUAACACACAUUAAAUAAAACCAAACACGAGAGUGAGGUGCAUGUUCAAAUGUGAUUUGUUCGACUUGACGCAAAGUAAUGCAACCCAACACACACGCGGUUACUAGUAGAGUUAUACCGGCUGUCGAAUAAAUGAAAAAAUAAUAGAUGUAAAUAAAUGUUAAAUUGAAUAAUUUGGCACAUUUUGUGAAGGUUGGACAGUUGAACGUUUGUUUUGGUAUAAACUAAUCAACGUAAUCGUUGAAUCAACGAAAAUUGCAGUGCACGUCGGUUUAUGUUUCAUAUGAUUAUCCAUUUAUUGCACAUUUUAUAGCCGUAAUUGUAAGUCGUGUAUAAAUUACGAUGGCAAUUAUGAUUCGCAACCGCCAGUCGCACAGCGAAACAAUUAAAGCAAAAAAUAUGAAUAACAGGAAGAAGUAUGGUGAAUCUGAUAUUCGGAUAGGUGAGACGCAUAGCAAAAUAACAAAAACGUAAGGAACGACACG
Dalotia coriaria is the source of this 557-nucleotide long non-coding RNA. RefSeq lists it as uncharacterized. The transcript is spliced from 3 exons. The record is from RefSeq and is a predicted model, not a curated record. Lineage: Eukaryota; Metazoa; Arthropoda; Insecta; Coleoptera; Staphylinidae.